Molecule: transfer RNA, 73 nt
Filed under: Candidatus Uhrbacteria bacterium RIFCSPHIGHO2_02_FULL_57_19
Lineage: Bacteria; Candidatus Uhriibacteriota
Description: tRNA-Lys
Rfam family: tRNA
About the family: Transfer RNA (tRNA) molecules are approximately 80 nucleotides in length. Their secondary structure includes four short double-helical elements and three loops (D, anti-codon, and T loops).
Source: RNAcentral
GCACCGCUAGCUCAAUUGGCAGAGCAGGGGCCUCUUAAGCCCAAGGUUCCGGGUUCGAUUCCCGGGCGGUGCA